Molecule: long non-coding RNA, 629 nt
Organism: Choloepus didactylus (southern two-toed sloth)
Lineage: Eukaryota; Metazoa; Chordata; Mammalia; Pilosa; Megalonychidae
Exons: 4
Source: RefSeq, a predicted model, not a curated record
UCUUUCUUCAUUGUAGGUUUUUGCAAGUGCUUCCUGCUUGCACUGAAGAUGAGAAACUGUUAAUAGAUGUCAUACAUUUCUUGAAUAAGUUAAUGAAAGAACAAAGAAAAAAUUCAUCUGUAGAACUUCUAAACUGGGUUCUAGAAUUACUUCUUAGACCUAGUCCGAAUCCACUAUUGGACCUGCUGGUUCCAACAGAGUCGCAGGCUGGAGAAGCAGCAGAGGACGUCCAGACUGCUGUCAGGCAACAACUUCAGAAGGAAUUGAUUGCUCUUUUCAGUACUUUGCUGUUCAGUUUCAUGGCAGUUACUGACAGCAGAGGGUGAACUCUACACCUUUGGAGAACCUGAGUGUGGGAAGUUAGGGCUUCCUGCGGAGCAGCUGACCAAUCACAGAACGCCCCAGCUGGUGCCUGGAAUUUCCGGGAAGGUGAUCCAAGUAGCUUGUGGUGGAGGACACACUGUAGUUCUCACAGAGAAAGCAGUGUAUGCAUUUGGACUGGGACAGUUUGGUCAGUUGGGUCUUGGCACUUUUAUUUUUGAAACAUCAGAACCCAAAGUCAUUGAGCAUGUUAAGGAUCAGAGAAUAUAUCAUAUUUCGUGUGGAGAAAAUCACACAGCUUUGAUAAC